UCCCUGAUGGUCCAGUGGUUAGGACUUGGCAGUUUCACUGCUGGGGCCGAGGUUCAAUCCCUGGUCAGGGAA
Transfer RNA from Ovis aries (sheep), 72 nucleotides. It matches the Rfam family "tRNA". Rfam says of the family: Transfer RNA (tRNA) molecules are approximately 80 nucleotides in length. The record is from Rfam. NCBI's taxonomy places the organism in Eukaryota, Metazoa, Chordata, Mammalia, Artiodactyla, Bovidae.